RNAcentral lists this microRNA (25 nucleotides) under Salmo salar (Atlantic salmon). Its description in RNAcentral is "ssa-miR-338a-4-5p". Its record names the gene ssa-miR-338a-4-5p. RNAcentral also lists the same sequence under 2 other names. The record is from miRBase by way of RNAcentral. Lineage: Eukaryota; Metazoa; Chordata; Actinopteri; Salmoniformes; Salmonidae.
AACAACAUCCUGGUGCUGCCUGAGU